UAUUCCUCUCACGAAUUCUCUUUAUGUGCCCGGAAAAAUAAAGGACGUGAACAAGUUCAAGGUCGACAUCGAGUCGCAAAGAGGCGAUUGAGUACUACAAUCGUAAAAUCGACCAGAUUGUUCCAAAUUCCCAAUUACUUAAGAAA
Long non-coding RNA from Schistocerca gregaria, 146 nucleotides. RefSeq lists it as uncharacterized. The transcript is spliced from 3 exons. NCBI's taxonomy places the organism in Eukaryota, Metazoa, Arthropoda, Insecta, Orthoptera, Acrididae. The record is from RefSeq and is a predicted model, not a curated record.